GCCCGGGUGGUGGAAUUGGUCAGACACGAUGGCCUCAAAAGCCAUUGGGCUUCGGCCCGUGCGGGUUCGAGUCCCGCCCCGGGUA
RNAcentral lists this transfer RNA (85 nucleotides) under Solirubrobacteraceae bacterium. RNAcentral's name for it is "tRNA-Leu". It matches the Rfam family "tRNA". Rfam says of the family: Transfer RNA (tRNA) molecules are approximately 80 nucleotides in length. Their secondary structure includes four short double-helical elements and three loops (D, anti-codon, and T loops). The record is from RNAcentral. Lineage: Bacteria; Bacillati; Actinomycetota; Thermoleophilia; Solirubrobacterales; Solirubrobacteraceae.